UUUAUACAAACAUGUCUUAUUGGUUAUUUAUAUUAAGUCUGGCCUGCCCAAUGAUUUUAUUUAAUGGCCGCAGUAUUUUGACUGUGCGAAGGUAGCAUAAUCAUUUGUCCUUUAAUUGGGGACUGGAAUGAAUGGUUUGAUGAAAAAUUAACUUUCUUUAUUUUAUUAAUAAAAAUUUAAUUUUUAAGUUAAAAAGCUUAAAUUUAUUUAAGGGACGAGAAGACCCUAUAGAGCUUUACUAUUUUAUUUUAUUUUUAAUUUUUGUUUAUAUUAUUAAAUUUUUUAUUUAAUAGUUUUGUUGGGGUGACAUAUAAAUUUUUAUAACUUUAUAUAUAUAUAAACAUUAAUUAAUGUUUUUUUUGAUCCUAUAUUAUAGAUUAUAAGAUUAAGCUACCUUAGGGAUAACAGCGUAAUUCUAUUGGGGAGUUCUUAUUUAUAAUAGAGUUUGCGACCUCGAUGUUGGAUUAAAAUAAGCUUAGGGUGCAAAAGUUCUUUAGCUAAGUCUGUUCGACUUUUAAAAUUUUACAUGUCGGUUUUCCA
This 540-nucleotide ribosomal RNA is filed under the name Phorticus affinis. RNAcentral's name for it is "partial large subunit ribosomal RNA". It matches the Rfam family "Bacterial large subunit ribosomal RNA", at positions 1804 to 2615 of the family's 2925-position model. Lineage: Eukaryota; Metazoa; Arthropoda; Insecta; Hemiptera; Nabidae. The record is from RNAcentral.